Long non-coding RNA from Octopus sinensis (East Asian common octopus), 368 nucleotides. RefSeq lists it as uncharacterized. The transcript has 2 exons. NCBI's taxonomy places the organism in Eukaryota, Metazoa, Mollusca, Cephalopoda, Octopoda, Octopodidae. The record is from RefSeq and is a predicted model, not a curated record.
GGUUAGGGUGUUGAAUUCAUGAUUGUAAGAUUGUGGUUUCAAUUCCUGGACUGGGCGAUGCGUUGUGUUUUCAAGCAAAACAUUUCAUUUCACAAUGCUCCACUCCCCUCAGUGGGUAAAAAUGAGUAUUCCUUUGAUAGAACAGUGUCCUAUCCAGAGGAGAACAUAUACACCAGAGAAUCCAGGAAACCAGCCCCAGGAGUCUACAUGACUUGGGAAGAAACUUUAUCCAUUUUUAUAUGUACCAAUAGCUGCUUAACAUACCUCUACUAAUAUUUGAAACCAAAUUUUUUUUUCUGUUGUAAUUAGCCAAUAAUACAUUUAAAUAAGUCUAAAGUAUUAAAACUAGUGGAAAAAGGAAAAGAAAA